AUAUAAACCAUUUAUUCUUAUCAUGUUUUUGCACAAUUUAAUAUUGUUUAUAUAGUUGUAAUACAGUUGUAUGAAAUAAAAAAUUAGAUAGACGAAGCAAUAUAUGCACAUCCAUAUAAUCUAUUUUUAUGUGCGUUUGUUUAUACUUUUUAGAACGAUUAAAGAGUCAGGCACAGUUUUUUUAACGAAUUUACGUUUAAUAUUUAUUAAAAAUAUAACUAGCAAAACGAACCCGAAUUUUUCAGCAGCUGAAUUACCAUUAAAUUUAAUAGAAAAACCUAAAUUUGAACAACCAGUGUUUGGAGAAAAUCAUUUAGCUGGUAUUAUUAAUCCUCUAAUAAAUAGUCCUAAUAGUUUAAGAAGUGCAUGUAAAUGGAAUUUAUACUUUUCUAAUGGUCAAUGUACUAGUUUUCUUCAUUAUUUUUUUAAAGCAUAUGAAUCUGCUAAACACAAUAAACCACUACACAGUAUGAAUGAAAUGAAUACUUGUUUUUUUUCAAAUGUAAAUGCAUAUGUUGAUCCUAGUGACCCAACAUAUCUUUAUAUAAAUGAACCUAUCCCUGAAACACUUUACACUGUAAAAAAUAUGAAUCAAAAUCAAGGUAUACAAGCUAACAACCAAAAUGAUGAAGAAAUUCCUGUAUACCAGAGACCUUACACAUGUCAACAAAACAAUAACUCACACUACAGCAGUGGUACAAGGGGUAUGUUUUAUAAUACUAGUGCUAACCCUAAUAAUCCUAACACUAAUAAUAACUUGUUAUAUAGUCAAAAAAAUUACAAUCAGAAUUACUCAUGUAAUAGAAAUAAUGACGUCCCGUUGUAUAAUCGUCAAUUAUAUGUACCAGAUAAUUCGCAUAACUAUGGUUAUACACCUUUAUUAGGUUAUGAUAAUCCACAUACUAAUAUGACAUCACAGAAUUACAAUAUGGGAAGUAAUAAUCAUAGGCCCUUAUAUAAUAAUAACAGCGAUAACAAUACAUAUGCUACGAUGUCCAAUUACAACCAACAUAAUAACAUGUUAGGGGGUAAUAAUGAUAAUUUAACUAAUAGAAAUUUGUAUAACCAAAAUAAUACUUCUAACAAUACUGCUUUAGAUAAUAGAGGUUACACCAGUUGUCCAUACAAACAACAACAAGGAAUGGGAAUGUUAGCAAAUAAUAACCAAAGAGUACAACCUAGAUCUAUCCAACCGAGUAAUCAACAUUAUAACCCUGCAUAUAAUGGACAAUCUAACAAUUCGAAUAUAACACAACCGACUAGUCAGCAGUAUGGUCAGCCAACUAGUCAGCAGUAUGGUCAGCCNNNNNNNNNNCAGCAGUAUGGUCAGCCAACUAGUCAGCAGUAUGGUCAGCCAACUAGCCAACAGUAUGGUCAGCCAACUAGCCAACAGUAUGGUCAGCCAACUAGCCAACAGUCUGGUCAGCCAACUAGCCAGCAGUGUGGUCAUCCAAAUAAUCAACAAUACAGCGAGCAAAAUGAUCAACAUUAAGGUCAACAAAAUUAUCAAAAAUAUUAGAAAUUGUGUAGGUAUAUACAUAUAUACAUAUAUAUAUAUAUAUAUUUAAGUAUAUAAUAUUAACUAAUUGGACAAACAUAUUAGCAAAGUAAAAAAAAA
RNAcentral lists this long non-coding RNA (1618 nucleotides) under Piliocolobus tephrosceles (Ugandan red Colobus). RNAcentral describes it as "lncRNA (ENSPTEG00000006432.1)". Lineage: Eukaryota; Metazoa; Chordata; Mammalia; Primates; Cercopithecidae. The record is from RNAcentral.